Molecule: ribosomal RNA, 506 nt
Filed under: uncultured bacterium
Lineage: Bacteria
Description: partial 16S ribosomal RNA
Rfam family: Bacterial small subunit ribosomal RNA
Source: RNAcentral
GAUGAACGCUAGCUACAGGCUUAACACAUGCAAGUCGAGGGGUAACGAGAGGAAAGCUUGCUUUCCUUGUCGACGACCGGCGCACGGGUGAGUAACGCGUAUCCAACCUGCCCCCAACUAGGGAAUAACCUUGCGAAAGUAAGACUAAUACUCUAUAAUUUCCUCAGAUGUCAUCUGACGAGGAAUAAAGAUUUAUCGGUUGAGGAUGGGGAUGCGUCUGAUUAGCUUGUUGGCGGGGUAACGGCCCACCAAGGCAACGAUCAGUAGGGGUUCUGAGAGGAAGGGCCACCCCAUGGGAACUGAGGCACGGUCCAAACUCCUAGGGGAGGCAGCAGUGGGGAAUUUUGGGUAAUGGGCGUAAGCCUGAACCAGCCACGUAUCGUGCAGCAUGACGGCCCUAUGGGUUCUAAAGUGCUUUUAUAGAGGAAUAAAGCUAGCCACGUGUGGUUAUUUGUAGGUACUGUAUGAAUAAGGACCGGCUAAUUCCGUGCCAGCAGCCGCAGUAA